RNAcentral lists this ribosomal RNA (429 nucleotides) under Bacteroidota bacterium. RNAcentral's name for it is "Bacteroidetes bacterium partial 16S ribosomal RNA". It matches the Rfam family "Bacterial small subunit ribosomal RNA", at positions 355 to 776 of the family's 1533-position model. Lineage: Bacteria; Pseudomonadati; Bacteroidota. The record is from RNAcentral.
UAGGGAAUCUUCGGCAAUGGGGGGAACCCUGACCGAGCAACGCCGCGUGAGUGAAGAAGGUUUUCGGAUCGUAAAGCUCUGUUGUUAAGGAAGAACGAGUGUGAGAAUGGAAAGUUCAUACUGUGACGGUACUUAACCAGAAAGGGACGGCUAACUACGUGCCAGCAGCCGCGGUAAUACGUAGGUCCCGAGCGUUGUCCGGAUUUAUUGGGCGUAAAGCGAGCGCAGGCGGUUAGAUAAGUCUGAAGUUAAAGGCAGUGGCUCAACCAUUGUAGGCUUUGGAAACUGUUUAACUUGAGUGCAGAAGGGGAGAGUGGAAUUCCAUGUGUAGCGGUGAAAUGCGUAGAUAUAUGGAGGAACACCGGUGGCGAAAGCGGCUCUCUGGUCUGUAACUGACGCGGAGGCUCGAAAGCGUGGGGGGCGAACAGG